UAUCUGGUUGAUCCUGCCAGUAGUCCAUAUGCUUGUCUCAAAGAUUAAGGCCAUGCAUGUCUAAGUACAAACCUUAAUACGGUGAAACCGCGAAUGGCUCAUUAAAUCAGCUAUGGUUCCUUAGAUCGUCUCAUCCCUACUCGGAUAAACUGUGGAAAAUCUAGAGCUAAUACGUGCUUACAAGCCCUGACCUCACGGAGGGCGCAUUUUAUAGAUCAAAACCAAUCGGGGCUUGCCGCCGUCUGCUUGGUGACUCUGGAUAACUUUUGUGCUGAUCUAUGCAUGGCCUCUGCGCUGGCGACGUAUCUUUCAAGUGUCUGCCCUUAUCAACUUACGAUGGUAGGUGAUAUGCCUACCGAUGGUUAUAACGGGUAACGGGGAAUCAGGGUUCGAUUCGCGGAGAGGGAGCCUGAGAAACGGCUACGCACAUCUAAGGAAGGCAGCAGGCGCGCGCAAAUUACCCACUCCCGGCACGGGGAGGUAGUGACGAAAAAUAACGAUACGGGACUCUUUUGAGGCCCCGUAAUUGGAAAUGAGUACACUUUAAAUCCGUUAACAAGUAUCUAUUGGAGGGCAAGUCUGGUGCCAGCAGCCGCGGUAAUUCCAGCUCCAAUAGCGUAUAUUAAUGUUGCUGCAGUUAAAAAGCUCGUAGUUGGAUCUGAGGACUCGAAUUGGUGGUGCACCAUACGGUGUUACUGCCGAUUCGGCCUACCUAGUCGCGUGCUCGCUCUUGUGUUCUUAAUUGAAUGCCCUGAGUGCCGGCAAGUUUACUUUGAAAAAAUUAGAGUGCUCAAAGCAGGCCAUUAGCCGGAAUACUUCAGCAUGGAAUAAUGGAAUAGGACUUCGGUUCUAUUUUGUUGGUUUUCGGAACCCGAGGUAAUGAUUAAGAGAGACAGACGGGGGCAUUCGUACUGCGGUGUUAAGAGGUGAAAUUCUUGGAUCGCCGCAAGACGAACAACUGCGAAAGCAUUUGGCCAAGAAUGUUUUCAUUAAUCAAGAACGAAAGUCAGAGGUUCGAAGACGAUCAGAUACCGUCCUAGUUCUGACCAUAAACGAUGGCCAAACUGGCGAUCCGAGAUCGUUUGCUUAUUGACCUCUCGGGCAGCCUCCGGGAAACCAAAGUUUUUAGGUUCCGGGGGAAGUAUGGUUGGCAAAGCUGGAACUUAAAGGAAUUGACUGACGGAAGGGCACCACCAGGAGUGGAGCCUGCGGCUUAAUUUGACUCAAACACGGGAAAACUCACCCGGCCCGGACACUGUUAGGAUUGACAGAUUGAGAGCUCUUUCUUGAUUUCGGUGGGUGGUGGUGCAUGGCCGUUCUUAGUUGGUGGAGCGAUUUGUCUGGUUAAUUCCGAUAACGAACGAGACUCUAGCCUGCUAAAUAGUACGCCGAUACCUUUUUUCGUCGGUUGCUGACUUCUUAGAGGGACAAGCGUCUUGAAGACGCACCGAGAUUGAGCAAUAACAGGUCUUGUGAUGCCCUUAGAUGUUCGGGGCCGCACGCGCGCUACACUGAAGGGGACGCAGCGAGUUUUCCUGUUCGAAAGAACCGGGUAAUCUGUUGAAUUCGCCUUCGUGACAGGGAUCGGGGCUUGCAAUUAUUCCCGUGAACGAGGAAUUCCCAGUAAGCGCAAGUCAUCAGCUUGCGUUGAUUACGUCCCUGCCCUUUGUACACACCGCCGGUCGCUACUGACGAUUGAAUGGUUUAGCAAGGUCCUCGGAUUGGUGCCGACUUGGUGGCUAACACUAGGUCGCGAUACUGAAAAGAAGAUCAAACUUGAUCAUUUAGAGGAAGUAAAAGUCGUAAAACAAGGUUUCCGUAGGUGAACCCUGCGGAAGGAUCAUUA
Macrostomum lignano is the source of this 1846-nucleotide non-coding RNA. Lineage: Eukaryota; Metazoa; Platyhelminthes; Macrostomidae. The record is from Rfam.